RNAcentral lists this ribosomal RNA (301 nucleotides) under uncultured bacterium. RNAcentral's name for it is "partial 16S ribosomal RNA". It matches the Rfam family "Bacterial small subunit ribosomal RNA", at positions 509 to 809 of the family's 1533-position model. The record is from RNAcentral.
CAGUCGCCGCGGUAAUACGUAGGAUGCGAGCGUUAAUCGGAAUUACUGGGCGUAAAGCGUGCGCAGGCGGUCCGCUAAGACGGAUGUGAAAUCUCUGGGCUCAACCCAGGGGCUGCACGAGAAACUGCAGGGCUUGAGUAUGGGAGAGGUGAGCGGAAUUUCCGGUGUAGCGGUGAAAUGCGUAGAUAUCGGAAGGAACACCUGUGGCGAAAGCGGCUCACUGGACCAUUACUGACGCUGAGGCGCGAAAGCUAGGGGAGCAAACAGGAUUAGAUACCCGUGUAGUCCCUGUCUCUUAUAU